GACGAACGCUGGCGGCGUGCUUAACACAUGCAAGUCGAACGGAAAGGUCCUGCUUUUGUGGGGUGCUCGAGUGGCGAACGGGUGAGUAACACGUGAGUAACCUGCCCUUGACUUUGGGAUAACUUCAGGAAACUGGGGCUAAUACCGGAUAGGAGCUCCUGCUGCAUGGUGGGGGUUGGAAAGUUUCGGCGGUUGGGGAUGGACUCGCGGCUUAUCAGCUUGUUGGUGGGGUAGUGGCUUACCAAGGCUUUGACGGGUAGCCGGCCUGAGAGGGUGACCGGCCACAUUGGAACUGAGAUACGGCCCAGACUACUACGGGAAGCAGCAGUGGGGAAUUUUGCACUAAGGGCGGAAGCCUGAUGAAGCAACGCCGCGUGCGGGAUGACGGCCUUCGGGUUGUAAACCGCUUUCGCCUGUGACGAAGCGUGAGUGACGGUAAUGGGUAAAGAAGCACCGGCUAACUACGUG
Molecule: ribosomal RNA, 468 nt
Filed under: uncultured bacterium
Lineage: Bacteria
Description: partial 16S ribosomal RNA
Rfam family: Bacterial small subunit ribosomal RNA
Source: RNAcentral